AAAAAAAAAAAAUUGGAUCAUCUUUUAGAGAACAAGAGCAGCGGCACCCUCCCCACAAAAAGGAUCCCGACGUUACAAUACAAUUAAGAGGACACUCAUCACACAAAUACAGAGAAAAUGGGAAAUCGGGAAAAGAGCAAAAAGCAAGGAUAAAAAAAUGCGGAGAGCAUUUUAGACAUUAGAAGGUUAGAACAACGGAAGGAACAUUUUCUUUGCACAAAAGGAGGUGUCACGGCAGCAGAAAACGCGCGCGCGCGCACAACAAAGGAACAAAGGAAAGAAUAGGAAUUUGUGGACUUCAGUUAGCUCGAAAAACUCCGGCGACCUCCAUUAACGCCGACGAAAUCGCAUUUUUGUCUCUCCCCACUGUUCUCCUAUCAUUUUUCAGUUAUUAGUGUCUUUGUUCUACAAUAUCAGAUCCGGCUGUUUUUCUUUUAAAAUUCCCGACGAGGUUCCGUCGAGGUCCGAGCUUCCGUCUGUUGAGUUCCUGUCAUGGCUGCGGUAUCGAUUUUGUUUGUGUAAUUGUUGAAUGCUUUGAGGAAUUGAAACUUCAUUUUUCAGGUGCAAUUCUUACUUCUUCUUAUGUUUCUCUAAUGGUAAUGGUGUGGAUUCAUUUUGAGUUUAUUUUGC
This 630-nucleotide long non-coding RNA is filed under the name Nicotiana benthamiana. Its description in RNAcentral is "long non-coding RNA (NBEN_LNC038629)". Lineage: Eukaryota; Viridiplantae; Streptophyta; Magnoliopsida; Solanales; Solanaceae. The record is from RNAcentral.